Molecule: long non-coding RNA, 345 nt
Filed under: Ananas comosus (pineapple)
Lineage: Eukaryota; Viridiplantae; Streptophyta; Magnoliopsida; Poales; Bromeliaceae
Description: long non-coding RNA (ACOM_LNC034572)
Source: RNAcentral
AUAUAUGAUAUAUAUAUAAUAAGGCUAAUACUCUUAACCGGGCUUAAACAUUUUGGGUGGUGGUUGUGCCCGGAGAUUAAAAGAGUUAAGCGUGUUAGCACAAGAGUAGUCCUAGGAUAGGUGAUCCUUUGGAAAGUUGGGGUGUUGCAGUUGGUAUUAGAGUCAAUUACCAGCCGGAAAUGUGAGAUGAGUCUCGGCUGAGCCAGGAUUAUACAACGGGGAGAGCAAGGCUUUCAUAUUGUUAACUAUUGUGGGUGGAGCGCAGCUCACUACAAGAUCGGUUUAGGCUAGCGAGACGAGUCUCACAUCGUCUGAUACUUAUAAGUUUAAGCCUUACGAGGACGU